AUACGUAGGGAGCGAGCGUUACCCGGAAUUACUGGGCGUAAAGCGCGCGUAGGUGGUUUAUUAAGUUGGAUGUGAAAUCCCCGGGCUUAACCUGGGUUUGUCAUUCAAAACUGAUAGACUAGAGUAUGGUAGAGGGUAGUGGAAUUCCUAGUGUAGAGGUGAAAUUCGUAGAUAUCGGGAGGAACACCAGUGGCGAAGGCGGCUACCUGGACCGAUACUGACGCUGAGACGCGAAAGCGUGGGUAGCAAACAGGAUUAGAAACCCCAGUAGUCC
This 274-nucleotide ribosomal RNA is filed under the name uncultured bacterium. Its description in RNAcentral is "partial 16S ribosomal RNA". It matches the Rfam family "Bacterial small subunit ribosomal RNA", at positions 523 to 796 of the family's 1533-position model. The record is from RNAcentral.